UACGUAGGGGGCAAGCGUUAUCCGGAUUUACUGGGUGUAAAGGGGGCGCAGACGGCGAUGCAAGCCAGGAGUGAAAGCCCGGGGCCCAACCCCGGGACUGCUCUUGGAACUGCGUGGCUGGAGUGCAGGAGGGGCAGGCGGAAUUCCUGGUGUAGCGGUGAAAUGCGUAAAUAUUAGGAGGAACACCAGUGACGAAGGCGGCUUACUGGACUGUAACUGACGUUGAGGCUCGAAAGCGUGGGGAGCAAACAGG
RNAcentral lists this ribosomal RNA (253 nucleotides) under uncultured bacterium. RNAcentral describes it as "partial 16S ribosomal RNA". It matches the Rfam family "Bacterial small subunit ribosomal RNA", at positions 524 to 776 of the family's 1533-position model. The record is from RNAcentral.